Molecule: ribosomal RNA, 317 nt
Filed under: uncultured archaeon
Lineage: Archaea
Description: bacterial SSU rRNA
Rfam family: Archaeal small subunit ribosomal RNA
Source: RNAcentral
GGUUAAGUCAGGCAACGAGCAAGACCCGUGCCCACAGUCGCCAGCAUACCCUCCGGGGUGGUAGGCACACUGUGGGGACCGCCGCUGCUAAAGCGGAGGAAGGCGCGGGCUACGGUAGGUCAGUAUGCCCCGAAUCAUCCGGGCUACACGCGGGCUACAAUGGUUGGGACAAUGGGCACCUACACCGAGAGGUGAUGGUAGUCUCCUAAACCCAGCCUUAGUUCGGAUUGAGGGCUGCAACUCGCCCUCAUGAAGCCGGAAUCCGUAGUAAUCGCGUAUCAAUAUCACGCGGUGAAUACGUCCCUGCUCCUUGCACA